Molecule: ribosomal RNA, 443 nt
Filed under: uncultured bacterium
Lineage: Bacteria
Description: partial 16S ribosomal RNA
Rfam family: Bacterial small subunit ribosomal RNA
Source: RNAcentral
CCUACGGGAGGCAGCAGUGGGGAAUAUUGCGCAAUGGUCGCAAGCCUGACCCAGCAACGCCGCGUGAAGGAAGAAGGCUUUCGGGUUGUAAACUUCUUUUCUCAGGGACGAAGAAAGUGACGGUACCUGAGGAAUAAGCCACGGCUAACUACGUGCAAGCCGCCGCGGUAAUACGUAGGGGGCAAGCGUUAUACGGGUGGAUUGGGUGUAAAGGGCGUGGAGGCGGGGGCGCAAGUCAGAGGAGAAAACGUAGGGCUCAAGUCUGAGGCUGCAGGGGAAAAGGUGUUUCUUGAGUAUUGGAGAGGCAAUAGGAAGUGCGGGGGGAGCGGUGAAAUGCGUAGAUAUACGGAGGAACACCAGUGGCGAAGGCGGAUUGCUGGACAGUAACUGACGCUGAGGCGCGAAAGCGUGGGGAGCAAACAGGAUUAGAUACCCGAGUAGUC